AACAGUGGACAUCCGUCACGUUUGAACGGAGCGAAAAAAUCGGAGCAAUGGAGGCGGCAUCUUCGGCCACGGAUCCACCGCCCAUGGCGGCGCGUUUCGUUUCUCCGUUACCUUGUCAAAAUAUAUCAACCGGUACAGCCGUGCAGGCGCAGUGCGUUGACCUGGUGGAUCUUUGAUCUGUCCAUUUAAAUUUGGCAGGUGUAAUUGUCAUUUUAAAAUUUGGCGUGCGGCAUGCAUGAUUACUGAUCACAUAAACAGGUUUGACCCUCCGAUUCGAGUUCACUUGCACACGACUUCACACUCUCCCUCAUAGUUGGGCUGACGAUACCAGCCAUGCCCUCCUCCCUCCAUCGCCGCCGGCUCCUCCUCCUCGUCGUCGCUGCCGCCGCGCUGCGGGGGGCGCCGUUGGCGGACGCCGGCGCGGACACCUGCAAGGCGUGGUUGGUGCAGUCCAUCCCCACGGACAUGCCGCACCUGAGCCGCAUCCCCGGGGUCCUAUCCACGGGAGAUGUGCUCCAGUGGCUCUCGGGGAAUGCAACGAAGAGUCUGGACAUCCUUGCGCAGUACUGGCAGUUCUUGCCCCAGCCGAACAAUCCGAAAUCGGGGGACUACGGGUUUUCCGAGAGUGACAUGAGGAGAUUCGGGGCCGAUGAGGGCCGCCGGGUUUACAAGGCACUGGAAAAUGCUGCAGACCGUAAGAUCAAAAUCAGGAUUGUCCAGCACUCUGGAUUUGCUCCUGAUUUUGACCAAGAGAGCGCAGACCUGGCUGCAGGAAGACCAAAUGUUGAGAACGCAACCGUUCUUUUCGAGGACUGGUGGGGAUCUGGUGUUGUGCACGCAAAGGUCUGGAUAUCAGAUAAGAAGGAUGUGUAUAUAGGUUCCGCAAACAACGACUGGAAAUCCCUUACUCAGGUUAAGGAGCUUGGGAUUUAUUUUGCUGGUUGCCCACAGAUAGCAAAAACUGUGGAGGUCUAUUUUCAAAACCUGUGGACGCUUUCAACCCUCAACUCAACUUUUUACACCAAACAAGCCUGGGAUACGCAGUGGCAAGUUUCUAGAAAGGUUCCAUGCUGGUCUCAUUUCCUACAGCCCAAAGAAAGAUGCAGGUCACCCAUACCACUUUCAGUUGACAUCCCAUAUGUAGAUGGAUAUCCAGCUCUUGCAAAUCCUGAAAUGAUUGAUGUUUCGUUUGAAACCCCUGGGUACAAGAAACCUACUCAGGAGCACUACUUGAGCUACCUUUCCUUUGCGCCACCUGAGUGCAUAUUCAAUGGAAUUUUUCAGUGUGCGAGGAUGCCAAGUUUGUUUGUCUACAUCAUCUGGUUGGCCUAAGAAAAAAGUCAUCUGACUGACCUUGUACUUUCACCCAUACAUCAACAUUUUUCAUAUACAUACAUUAAGUAUUCAUGUUUCAUUACCUUAACUUAUAUGACAUAAUUUUUCGUAAACAUUGAAUUAAGACAUGCAAUAUAAUAAGGUGUUGUUUGGUUUAUAAUUUGUAACGUAAAUGGUAAUGGGUAAUAGGUUUGAAUAGACCGGUAUCAGUUUUUAGUGUGGUCUCUGAUUACGGUUGGACUUAAACAAACAUGAUUUAACGUUAUUGGUUACUCAUCAUAUUACAAUUAUGUGCAGCACCUAAAAGAUAACUGGUCCCGGGGACUAAUUAAUCUAGUAAGUAGUGCAUUUCGGGACGUUGGUUUCAUCUUUUCUUGUUUCACAGGUGACAUUUGGCAGAUUCCAAGCAGAUGAGCAGGGGUGGGUUGACACCAUCAAGUCUGUUAAGCUUGGGGGAAUUGUAAGAAUGAAUACCAUGGAUUGGCUUGGGCAGUCACAGUAUGCUACCCAAACAGUCUACUGGUCAUCUUUAUCGUCAGCAAUCUCAGAGGUAGUAUUCUCAAAGAACGCGACCGUGAGGCUACUCGUCGCCUACUGGGCGCAUCUCAUCCCAAACACCGAGAAAUACCUGAAGAGCCUACUGUACUCCAACGUUCUCUGCGCGUCUUCGGCGUACAACCACUGUGGCGGCAAGGUCGAGAUCAAGUACUACGUGGUUCCUGGGCACAACGAGACCGGACCUGCUCUGUCCCAGGGCGGCGCCGCGACGGGGAACCGUUACCCUGGCUUCACCAGGGUGAACCACGGCAAGUACGCCGUCAGCGACGUGAGGGCGAACGUCGGCACCAGCAACCUCAUCUGGGACUACUUCUACACCACGGCUGGAGUCAGCUUCGGGACAUACAACCCCAGCAUUGUCGCGCAGCUGCAGGAUGUCUUUGAUGCGGACUGGUAUUCUCCUUAUGCCGUGCCGGUUGAACCGCUGGAAGAGUCUGUGUAGGAUCAGCUGAGAGUCCAAUCCUCUUUUGCGUGUGUGUGUGUUUGGGGUUGGGGGGGGGGGGGGGGGGGGGGGGGGGGGGGCACACAUAGCCAGACAUCAUUGUUUUGUUCUGAGAACUGGCAAUUGAUUCCUAAAUGUAUAAUUAUAAAUGUGAAUACUUUCCGCUGAAAUGGAAAGGUACACGGACACUUUUGAGGAGUAGUACAAUUUUGUUUCCAGAUUCUUGAA
RNA transcript from Zea mays, 2563 nucleotides. It is a transcript of the gene named phospholipase D Z, with no coding region annotated. The record is from RefSeq and is a predicted model, not a curated record. The transcript has 7 exons. Lineage: Eukaryota; Viridiplantae; Streptophyta; Magnoliopsida; Poales; Poaceae.